Molecule: ribosomal RNA, 422 nt
Filed under: uncultured bacterium
Lineage: Bacteria
Description: bacterial SSU rRNA
Rfam family: Bacterial small subunit ribosomal RNA
Source: RNAcentral
UGAGGAAUAUUGGGCAAUGCCCGCAAGGGUGACCCAGCAACGCCGCGUGGAGGAUGAAUGUCGUAAGAUUGUAAACUCCUGUUAGAGGGGAAGAAUAGUACCGGUUGGACCGGUAUAUGACUGUACCCUCAGAGAAAGCCCCGGCUAACUACGUGCCAGCAGCCGCGGUAAUACGGAGGGUGCGAGCGUUAAUCGGAAUUACUGGGCGUAAAGCGCACGUAGGCGGUCUGGUAAGUCGGAUGUGAAAGCCCCGGGCUUAACCUGGGAAUUGCAUUCGNUACUGCCUGACUGGAGUAUGGGAGAGGGAAGCGGAAUUUCCGGUGUAGCGGUGAAAUGCGUAGAUAUCAAGAGGAACACCUGAGGUGAAGACGGGUUGCUGGGCCGACACUGACGCUGAGGCGCGAAAGCCAGGGGAGCAAACG